Xyrichtys novacula (pearly razorfish) is the source of this 2373-nucleotide non-coding RNA. Lineage: Eukaryota; Metazoa; Chordata; Actinopteri; Labriformes; Labridae. The record is from the annotation of a GenBank genome assembly.
AUGGAAAGCAUGAAAAGCAACCUAUGUGUGUUAAAGCAACAUGAAUAUUCGAUUGCUGUGAGACUAUCAAGGUCACAAUCCCACAGCAGAUUAUGAAGAAGUCAUGAAUAAACGUCUAAAACUGUUAACAUGAGCAUGAAAUAGAGAAUUUCCUCUUUUGUUAAUGUCUGUGGGCAUUAACCUUAAAAUAAUGUAUUUAAUCGGAGUUACAUUUUAAUGCUUCUAACACAGAAGCCUUUUCGUGUCGCUUUGCACAAUUGUGUUAUGUGGGGGUGUCACAUUUUCAUGGCCAUUGAUUUUCAGGGCAGAAAAUAACUUUAUAUUGCACCAGGGGAAGCCUGUGUGGGCUCCGUUUUUAAAGCAGGAGUCAACCUUGAUAUAAUAUUUAAGACUAAGCCAUGGUGUUGUCACAAGUGGCUCGUAAGACUAAACCAAGUAGCAGUGAGAACAGAAGGUCACAGUUUGGUACAGCUCUGGCAGUUGAACGGUUGACGGUUUGGUUCAAUUUUGGCUCUCUGAGAUAUUCUUCAAGUGCAUCUCCGAACUCUACAUGAUCCAAUCCUAUAUAAAGAAGUUAUAUAUCCAGAAAAUAGAGACAAUAUCAAAGGAGAAUUAGAAAUCAAGUCUAGAAAAGCUCAACUACACUUAGUAGAAGACAUGUUUGCAUAAGUAAGAACAAUGGCAAUCAGCUUGAAGUGCUGUUGCUCUGGCAGUCUGUCUUUAAGUUGUCGUUUCUCCUGUACUCUCCUUUGUUUCUCUACUUCUCCAGGUGGGUGUCAGAGCUGCUGUCAGAGGUUACCACGUGGUUUGAUUUAAUGUAGCGAACAGACUCAAAGAUACAAAUAAAAAGAAAUUUAAAAAAAUAAAAAAAACUCAAACUGUCUUAUAAAAAUUUGAACGAACAUAAAUUUGGUAUUGACCCUUGCAUUUCUGCAUUUCAUAUCAAGUAUCAUAUUGCAGGGAGAGAAAGUAUUGCAAAACACUUUUUUUAAAAUAACAUGAUGCCCUUAAAAAAAUGUCGACAGUGCCCACUAUCUCUUCAGGGACGUUUUUGGUGCCCCGUGUGAGGCACCAGAAACUACACACGUAAGUUUCUCACAUCAGCUUUAACACGACAGGGCUAAGCCCAGACCUGAUGGAUAGUCAGAUUUAUGUGAAAAAAAAAAAAAGAGGUUGACAGCAGCUUUAUUAGUGUCUCAUGUUUUUGCCUUGCCCUGCUUUGUUUCCCUCCCUCAUGGACGAGGAAAAUAACUGAGGGUUUACAGUCACAGUCACCUGUUAAGAGUUUAGUAAACUGCCUGAAUCUUUAAUUCGAGUAAGAUGGUGUUCUUGUUAUCCUUUGAUGACAAAUAAUACAGACUACAACUGAAGUACAACAGCAGAAACAUUUUGCAUUAGAGAAGGAUUCGACAAUACACAGAAUAAUUGCAUCCUUGAAAACGAACACGGUCUAAUCAACUCCUCUCCGACUCAGUCACUGGAAAUAUUAAACAUUUAAAUGCUUACAAAGGCGGCAUUUAUUUAUUACAGAACUUUUGGGUUGCUCUGCAUAAUGCAUGAUCAUAACUCUAAUCCUGCUUACAGAGAGAAAAUAUCUGCCAAGCUCUUCUGUGUUUGUUUUAUGCUGCUGCCGCUGUCUCUUGUUUACAUAAAUUACAUUGUGUUAUGCUGGGAGGACAUUGUGUGCAUUCGAAGAAAAACAAUUAUACUAAAAGCAAAAACCUCUAUGACACCAUCUUCUAUGCAAAACACACACAGGCCGAUACAAACACGCACAACUCCUCUCAGGCAGUCUCCAUCCUGUAUCCUUUGUGUUCUCUGCAAACAUCGAGCCAAUUGAUUGGCUAAGUGUUUCCUGGCUACCACACCUGGACUGGCUGCAUCCUCUCUGCCAUGUUUGUUCAUUGUAACACAGGUUUCACACUGAGAUCAGCCAAAUGAUAGCUGCCCGGCUGUGCUUUAAUAAUUAUACACACAGAUGGUGACCGGAUUGCUGCUGCUGCUCUCCUGCUCGGGGGUGGCAGCGUCUGAUCUUCACUCUUGUUACUUUUACAAGCUCUGUGAUUUUACUGUCUGCGUAUAUGCAAGCCAUGCUUUUUUAAGAGCAUCAAUCACAUUUUAUAGUCCCAAAUUUAGAUUCUCAGAGCAUUUAUCACUCAAACAAACCCUGUGUUUGGAUGUUUCAGCCUGUACUGAAGCUGGUUGGCGGCUAAAAAAUGAUGGUAAUACAUAUUGUCUAUGUCCAGUUGGUUACCAGAUAGCGGUAUAAGAGGACAUGGUAGUUUCCAAAAGCUCAUAAAUCAAUCAGAUAUGAUAACAGGGUUAGUUAUUAGUGGGGUUGCAAAGGGGUGGAAAAUUUUCUGUAAAUUUCUG